RNAcentral lists this ribosomal RNA (459 nucleotides) under uncultured bacterium. RNAcentral's name for it is "partial 16S ribosomal RNA". It matches the Rfam family "Bacterial small subunit ribosomal RNA", at positions 338 to 795 of the family's 1533-position model. The record is from RNAcentral.
CCUACGGGGGGCAGCAGUGAGGAAUAUUGGUCAAUGGGCGCAGGCCUGAACCAGCCAAGUCGCGUGAGGGAAGACUGCCCUAUGGGUUGUAAACCUCUUUUAUAAGGGAAGAAUAAUGACUACGUGUAGUCAGAUGCCCGUACCUUAUGAAUAAGCAUCGGCUAACUCCGUGCCAGCAGCCGCGGUAAUACGGAGGAUGCGAGCGUUAUCCGGAUUUAUUGGGUUUAAAGGGUGCGUAGGCGGAAUGCCAAGUCAGCGGUAAAAUCGCGGGGCUCAACCUCGCUACGCCGUUGAAACUGGGGAUCUAGAGUGUGCGAGAGGUAUGCGGAAUGCGUGGUGUAGCGGUGAAAUGCAUAGAUAUCACGCAGAACCCCGAUUGCGAAGGCAGCAUACCGGUGCACAACUGACGCUCAGGCACGAAAGCGUGGGUAUCGAACAGGAUUAGAUACCCCUGUAGUC